AUACGGAGGAUCCGAGCGUUAUCCGGAUUUAUUGGGUUUAAAGGGUGCGCAGGCGGCCAUUUAAGUCAGCGGUUAAAUCGUGGGGCUCAACCCCAUUCUGCCGUUGAUACUGGGAGGCUUGAUUGCGGUCGAGGUUGGCGGAAUUCGUUGUGUAGCGGUGGAAUGCAUAGAUAUGACGAAGAACACCGAUUGCGUAGGCAGCUGACCAGACCGCAAAUGACGCUCAUGCACGAAAGUGCGGGGAUCGAACAGGAUUAGAUACCCUGGUAGUCCGCACAGUAAACGAUGAAUACUUGUUUUCGGCGAUAUAAUGUCGGAGGCAAAGCGAAAGCGAUAAGUAUUCCACCUGGGGAGUACGCCGGCAACGGUGAAACUUAAAGGAAUUGACGGGG
RNAcentral lists this ribosomal RNA (392 nucleotides) under uncultured bacterium. RNAcentral's name for it is "partial 16S ribosomal RNA". It matches the Rfam family "Bacterial small subunit ribosomal RNA", at positions 523 to 918 of the family's 1533-position model. The record is from RNAcentral.